AGAGUUUGAUCAUGGCUCAGAUUGAACGCUGGCGGAAUGCUUUACACAUGCAAGUCGAACGGCAGCAUAGGUGCUUGCACCUGAUGGCGAGUGGCGAACGGGUGAGUAAUACAUCGGAACGUGCCCAGUCGUGGGGGAUAACGCAGCGAAAGCUGUGCUAAUACCGCAUACGCCCUGAGGGGGAAAGCGGGGGAUCGCAAGACCUCGCGCGAUUAGAGCGGCCGAUGCCUGAUUAGCUAGUUGGUGGGGUAAAAGCCCACCAAGGCGACGAUCAGUAGCUGGUCUGAGAGGACGAUCAGCCACACUGGGACUGAGACACGGCCCAGACUCCUACGGGAGGCAGCAGUGGGGAAUUUUGGACAAUGGGGGCAACCCUGAUCCAGCAAUGCCGCGUGCAGGACGAAGGCCUUCGGGUUGUAAACUGCUUUUGUACAGAACGAAAAGCCUUGGGUUAAUACCCUGGGGUCAUGACGGUACUGUAAGAAUAAGCACCGGCUAACUACGUGCGAGCAGCCGCGGUAAU
RNAcentral lists this ribosomal RNA (523 nucleotides) under uncultured bacterium. Its description in RNAcentral is "bacterial SSU rRNA". It matches the Rfam family "Bacterial small subunit ribosomal RNA", at positions 8 to 524 of the family's 1533-position model. The record is from RNAcentral.